Molecule: ribosomal RNA, 658 nt
Filed under: uncultured fungus
Lineage: Eukaryota; Fungi
Description: eukaryotic LSU rRNA
Rfam family: Eukaryotic large subunit ribosomal RNA
Source: RNAcentral
CCCGCUGAACUUAAGCAUAUCAAUAAGCGGAGGAAAAGAAACUAACAAGGAUUCCCCUAGUAACUGCGAGUGAAGCGGGAAAAGCUCAAAUUUAAAAUCUGGCGGUCUUUGGCUGUCCGAGUUGUAAUCUAGAGAAGUGUUAUCCGCGCUGGACCGUGUACAAGUCUCCUGGAAUGGAGCAUCAUAGAGGGUGAGAAUCCCGUCUUUGACAUGGACUGCCAGGGCUUUGUGAUGCGCUCUCAAAGAGUCGAGUUGUUUGGGAAUGCAGCUCAAAAUGAGUGGUAAAUUCCAUCUAAAGCUAAAUAUUGGCGAGAGACCGAUAGCGAACAAGUACCGUGAGGGAAAGAUGAAAAGAACUUUGGAAAGAGAGUUAAACAGUACGUGAAAUUGCUGAAAGGGAAACGCUUGAAGUCAGUCGCGUCGUCCAGGGAUCAACCUUGCUUUUGCUUGGUGCACUUUCUGGUUCGAUGGGUCAGCAUCAAUUUUGACUGUUGGAAAAAGGUCAAGGGAAUGUGGCAUCUUUGGAUGUGUUAUAGCCCUUGGUCACAUACAAUGGUUGGGAUUGAGGAACUCAGCACGCCGCAAGGCCGGGUUUUAAACCACGUACGUGCUUAGGAUGCUGGCAAUAUGGCUUUAAUCGACCCGUCUUGAAACACGG